This 264-nucleotide ribosomal RNA is filed under the name uncultured bacterium. RNAcentral describes it as "partial 16S ribosomal RNA". It matches the Rfam family "Bacterial small subunit ribosomal RNA", at positions 29 to 289 of the family's 1533-position model. The record is from RNAcentral.
AUGAACGCUGGCGGCGUGCUUAACACAUGCAAGUCGAACGAUUAAAGCUCACUUCGGUGAGUGUAUAGAGUGGCGAACGGGUGAGUAACACGUGGGAAACCUGCCCCUUUCUUCGGGAUAACUUCGGGAAACCGUUGCUAAUACCGGAUACUCCGGGAUGGUCGCGUGGCCGACCCGGGAAAGCUUUAUGUGGAAAGGGAUGGUCCCGCGGCCCAUUAGCUUGUUGGUGGGGUAAUGGCCUACCAAGGCAAUGAUGGGUAGCCG